GCACAAGCGGUGGAUGAUUGUGGUUUAAUUCGAUGCAACGCGAAAAGCCUUACCCACCUUUGACAUGGCAGGAAUCCUAAAGAGAGUUUUGGAGUGCUCGAAAGAGAACCUGCACACAGGUGCUGCAUGGCUGUCGUCAGCUCGUGUCGUGAGAUGUUGGGUUAAGUCCCGCAACGAGCGCAACCCUUGUCAUUAGUUGCUACAUUCAGCUGGGCACUCUAAUGAGACUGCCGGUGACAAACCGGAGGAAGGUGGGGAUGACGUCAAGUCCUCAUGGCCCUUAUAGGUGGGGCUACACACGUCAUACAAUGGAUGGUACAAAGGGUCGCCAACCCGCGAGGGGGAGCCAAUCCCAUAAAGCCAUUCGUAGUCCGGAUCGCAGUCUGCAACUCGACUGCGUGAAGUCGGAAUCGCUAGUAAUCGUGGAUCAGAAUGUCACGGUGAAUACGUUCCCGGGUCUU
Molecule: ribosomal RNA, 461 nt
Filed under: uncultured Acidovorax sp.
Lineage: Bacteria; Pseudomonadati; Pseudomonadota; Betaproteobacteria; Burkholderiales; Comamonadaceae
Description: bacterial SSU rRNA
Rfam family: Bacterial small subunit ribosomal RNA
Source: RNAcentral